GACGAACGCUGGCGGCGUGGAUUAGGCAUGCAAGUCGAACGACGGCGAGGAGCAAUCCUUGUACGGAGUGGCGAACGGGUGAGUAACACGUGAAUAAACUGUCCCUACAUUCUGGAUAAUUCACCGAAAGGUGUUGUAAUACAGGCGAGGACGGAGUUAAGGCACCUUAGCUUCAGGGAACGUGCAAGGGUAACUUUGGGCGGUGCAGGGAGGUAUUCGCGGCCUAUCAGUUAGUAGG
RNAcentral lists this ribosomal RNA (238 nucleotides) under uncultured bacterium. RNAcentral's name for it is "partial 16S ribosomal RNA". It matches the Rfam family "Bacterial small subunit ribosomal RNA", at positions 28 to 252 of the family's 1533-position model. The record is from RNAcentral.